GACAGAGGGGUGCAAACGUUUUGUUCGGGAAUUACUGGGGCGAAAGCGAGUGUAGGCGGUUCGAUAAGUCGGAUGUGAAAGCCCCGGGGCUCAACCCGGGGAAGUGCACUCGAUACUGUCGAGCUAGAGCAUCGGAGAGGUUGGUGGAAUUCUCGGUGUAGAGGUGAAAUUCGUAGAUAUCGAGAGGAACACCGGGUGGCGAAGGCGGCCAACUGGACGAAUACUGACGCUGAGACUCGAAAGCGUGGGGGAGCAAACAGG
Molecule: ribosomal RNA, 261 nt
Filed under: uncultured bacterium
Lineage: Bacteria
Description: partial 16S ribosomal RNA
Rfam family: Bacterial small subunit ribosomal RNA (bases 28-261)
Source: RNAcentral